RNAcentral lists this ribosomal RNA (1437 nucleotides) under Lactiplantibacillus plantarum subsp. plantarum. Its description in RNAcentral is "bacterial SSU rRNA". It matches the Rfam family "Bacterial small subunit ribosomal RNA". The record is from RNAcentral. Lineage: Bacteria; Bacillati; Bacillota; Bacilli; Lactobacillales; Lactobacillaceae.
UGCAAGUCGAACGAACUCUGGUAUUGAUUGGUGCUUGCAUCAUGAUUUACAUUUGAGUGAGUGGCGAACUGGUGAGUAACACGUGGGAAACCUGCCCAGAAGCGGGGGAUAACACCUGGAAACAGAUGCUAAUACCGCAUAACAACUUGGACCGCAUGGUCCGAGUUUGAAAGAUGGCUUCGGCUAUCACUUUUGGAUGGUCCCGCGGCGUAUUAGCUAGAUGGUGGGGUAACGGCUCACCAUGGCAAUGAUACGUAGCCGACCUGAGAGGGUAAUCGGCCACAUUGGGACUGAGACACGGCCCAAACUCCUACGGGAGGCAGCAGUAGGGAAUCUUCCACAAUGGACGAAAGUCUGAUGGAGCAACGCCGCGUGAGUGAAGAAGGGUUUCGGCUCGUAAAACUCUGUUGUUAAAGAAGAACAUAUCUGAGAGUAACUGUUGAGGUAUUGACGGUAUUUAACCAGAAAGCCACGGCUAACUACGUGCCAGCAGCCGCGGUAAUACGUAGGUGGCAAGCGUUGUCCGGAUUUAUUGGGCGUAAAGCGAGCGCAGGCGGUUUUUUAAGUCUGAUGUGAAAGCCUUCGGCUCAACCGAAGAAGUGCAUCGGAAACUGGGAAACUUGAGUGCAGAAGAGGACAGUGGAACUCCAUGUGUAGCGGUGAAAUGCGUAGAUAUAUGGAAGAACACCAGUGGCGAAGGCGGCUGUCUGGUCUGUAACUGACGCUGAGGCUCGAAAGUAUGGGUAGCAAACAGGAUUAGAUACCCUGGUAGUCCAUACCGUAAACGAUGAAUGCUAAGUGUUGGAGGGUUUCCGCCCUUCAGUGCUGCAGCUAACGCAUUAAGCAUUCCGCCUGGGGAGUACGGCCGCAAGGCUGAAACUCAAAGGAAUUGACGGGGGCCCGCACAAGCGGUGGAGCAUGUGGUUUAAUUCGAAGCUACGCGAAGAACCUUACCAGGUCUUGACAUACUAUGCAAAUCUAAGAGAUUAGACGUUCCCUUCGGGGACAUGGAUACAGGUGGUGCAUGGUUGUCGUCAGCUCGUGUCGUGAGAUGUUGGGUUAAGUCCCGCAACGAGCGCAACCCUUAUUAUCAGUUGCCAGCAUUAAGUUGGGCACUCUGGUGAGACUGCCGGUGACAAACCGGAGGAAGGUGGGGAUGACGUCAAAUCAUCAUGCCCCUUAUGACCUGGGCUACACACGUGCUACAAUGGAUGGUACAACGAGUUGCGAACUCGCGAGAGUAAGCUAAUCUCUUAAAGCCAUUCUCAGUUCGGAUUGUAGGCUGCAACUCGCCUACAUGAAGUCGGAAUCGCUAGUAAUCGCGGAUCAGCAUGCCGCGGUGAAUACGUUCCCGGGCCUUGUACACACCGCCCGUCACACCAUGAGAGUUUGUAACACCCAAAGUCGGUGGGGUAACCUUUUAGGAACCAGCCGCCU